GACGAACGCUGGCGGCGGGCUUAACACAUGCAAGUCGAACGCUGAAGCACAGCUUUUGUUGGGUGGAUGGGUGGCGAACGGGUGAGUAACACGUGAGUAACCUGCCCCAUUCUUUGGGAUAAGGUCCGGAAAGGGGUGCUAAGACUGGAUAUUCACUGGUCUACGGAUGGGGGUUGGUGGUAUGGGUACUUCUGGUGGGGGAUGGGCUCGAGGCCUAUUAGCUUGUUGGUGGGGGGAUGGCCUAACAAGGCUUUGGCGGGUAGCCGGGCUGAGGGGGUGACCUGUCACAUAGAGACGGUGAUACGGCCUAGACUCCUACGGGAGGCAGCAGUUGGGACUAUUGCACAAUGGGCGAUAGCGUCAUGCCGCGUCGCUGCGUAAGGGAUGCGGGCUUUCGAGUUGUGAACCUCUUACGCUCAUGCUCAAGCCGCAACAAUGGUUGUUGUGAGGGUAGUGGGUAAAUAAGCGCCGGCUAACUACGUG
This 483-nucleotide ribosomal RNA is filed under the name uncultured bacterium. Its description in RNAcentral is "partial 16S ribosomal RNA". It matches the Rfam family "Bacterial small subunit ribosomal RNA", at positions 28 to 507 of the family's 1533-position model. The record is from RNAcentral.